This 77-nucleotide transfer RNA is filed under the name Actinomycetes bacterium. RNAcentral describes it as "Actinobacteria bacterium tRNA-Arg". It matches the Rfam family "tRNA". From Rfam's summary of the family: Transfer RNA (tRNA) molecules are approximately 80 nucleotides in length. Their secondary structure includes four short double-helical elements and three loops (D, anti-codon, and T loops). Lineage: Bacteria; Bacillati; Actinomycetota; Actinomycetes. The record is from RNAcentral.
GCCCCUGUAGCUCAGAUGGACAGAGCGGCUGCCUUCUAAGCAGCGGGUCGCAGGUUCGAGUCCUGCCGGGGGCGCCG